RNAcentral lists this ribosomal RNA (253 nucleotides) under uncultured bacterium. RNAcentral's name for it is "partial 16S ribosomal RNA". It matches the Rfam family "Bacterial small subunit ribosomal RNA", at positions 524 to 776 of the family's 1533-position model. The record is from RNAcentral.
UACGUAGGGGGCAAGCGUUGUCCGGAAUCAUUGGGCGUAAAGCACGCGUAGGCGGCCCGGUAAGUCCGUUGUGAAAGUCAAAGGCUCAACCUUUGAAUGCCGACGGAUACUGCCGGGCUAGAGUCCGGAAGAGGCGAGUGGAAUUCCUGGUGUAGCGGUGGAAUGCGCAGAUAUCGGGAGGAACACCAGUGGCGAAGGCGACUACCUGGCCUGUUCUUGACGCUGAGGCGCGAAAGCUAGGGGAGCAAACGGG